GUUCUCUUCCCAUGCUUUGAUGUAGCAAAAAGCUGGGUCACCCAGCUGGUGUGGGGGGGGGGAGGGGUCACUGGCACUCUGUCAUUGGAACUAGGCUCCCUUCUGCCUCCUCACCUCCAAACAGGCACAAGGUCACUUAUGCACCGCUCUGAAGGCCUGAGAGAAUGCGAGGCAGCCUCUGGCAGAGCCCCCUAAGUGGGAAGGGAUGGGCAGGGCUGUGCUGCGGGCACAGGGAUGGAGGAGUCUGGCAGGGAGCCGCAGCUGCUGCUCCCCCCGGGGUUCGUCCUUUCUCCAUUGGGCCUCACUGUCCCCACCAGCCCAUGCCUCAAGCUGCCCCCGGAGCUGGGCUGGCAGGGAGCUGCUGGCGGCCCUCAGUGUUCCAGCUGGUCCGAGCCCACCACAGCAGCUGAGCGGGGAGCGCCUGCUCCUCAACAUGUCCUAGUUCCCAUCAGCUGGCUGGGGCCGUUGGAGCAGACAGCCGGAGCACAUGUUGCUCCAGCCCUGCCGUACCCAGGCCUCCAGCUGAGGGGCUUGGGGUAAAAACUGGGGCAAGAGUUGCCUGAGGACAUCAGGGUGCUCCUUCUCUGCCAUUCACAGAAAUCUCAAAUGAUUCUCUUUCGACUCCUAGUUUGGAAAAAUAUUUAAUGUUUCCAGAUUGAACAACUAGCAUCUGUUUGUGCAAACCAACCUUUUGUCCCACCUGUUUCCAGAACAGUAUUCCCUGUGAGUUUCAGGUGCCAAAGCUCACAGCUGAUGGAGAGGUUCCAUGGGUAUCUGCCCAGAGUGAUGCCUCUCACAGGCACUGGCAGCUGCUCCAGCGACCAGAGGAUGGAUCCUCUCUCUGGGUUGUGUACAGACAACAAUCUUGCUAAAACCAUCAUCCCUUCCUCUGGGCUACAUGAACCCUGAACUACACCUCCAUGGCCUCUCUACAGACCAGCCGCCUCUCCUUGAGGAGACUGAAGUUACACACUCCACCAAGUAUUUUCAAACCACUAGAUUCGUUUGAAUGAGUAAUGUUGUUAAAACCUUGAUAAAAGUUACCAAAAUCCUCUAAUCAAUGAGGUGUUCUUCGUUUGAAUGAAUAAUGUUAAAACCUUGAUAAAAGUUACCAAAUUCCCCUAAUCAACGAGGUGUUCACCAUUCACAGAAAAGAAGCAAAACACAAAUUUCACCCUUCCUGUCCCAAACAGAGGCCAGCAGACAUAUUCCAGUAACACAAGAAUCUGCAUUUUGGGGCCAUUAGUGCUGGUUAUGAUUCCCAAAAGUACAGCGUGCCAUGCUAAGCCAUUACCGCCUGUCCUCGGACAUAAACCUUAUGCAACCUGCAGUGGGCUAACAUGGGAAUAAGUUAGAAAGCAAUGUGAACAUGGCAGAGAUUAGCAGAGAACAUUUCACUGGAUUUAUCUCAAGAUACAAUUUGUUAACAUUUUUUUUCUUCGUUGCUCAAAACAUUCCCUGGUAGUUAUUUUUAGUGAUGACAUAUAUGUUUCCUAGUAAGACAUCUUGCAUUUAAUAGUAAUAAGAAAUAACAUUAUCUACUUUUUAUGAUUGAGGAUGAAGGAGUCUAUUCUAAUAGCUUCAGUUGUCAACACAAGGUCCUCCGGUACUACAUUUCUCGGCCUCCCUGUUGUAAAAGAACAUGCCUAUGUAGAUAUUAUUAAUUUAUCAUUGCACAAAACAAAGUUUAUGAACACUUAAUAUUUAAUGUACUGUGAAUUUAAUAAUAAAAAAUUAAGACCCUACCUUACAUCAUUUUUUAACUAUCUGAUUUUUAUUCUUCUCAUUAGCUCUUUAUGGAUCUAUUCUGAACCAUGGCUUGGGCUUAAAAGCAGUUAGUUGUAUAGGCUGAAGAGCAAAUACUUCCUCUCUAGCCCAGCUGAACACAGAGACAACACCAUGAUGAAAUUAAGCACUAUGACAUUUCUACCAUGCAUAGAACACAGGGACAUAAAUACAAAUACAAACCUGUAGUGCAAUUAGAGCAGCCACCUACACAAACUGAAGACAUGGGUCUUCCUGCCUAGUGAAGACAUUAGACAGGUGGGAUUUUCUUUCACAAAGGUUUGAUGCUUUUGCGUUUACACGUUGCCAGUUACUGCUUCUCUAAGGGCUUAUGCCAAUUCUGUCUGUCUGAGCAGCUUCUUGCAUAAAUGUGAUUAAUAAAAAAGUAAUUCUCUACAGCAAAAAAAUAAACAGAUCUUCCUUGUUAUUGUGAUUUUGGUUUCCUCAGCACAGCCUGACAGAUCUUGUUGUUACCUGCAAUCCCUCUGGGAGUUCAAAAUAAAGCAGGUUGGGGGCUUCAGCUCAUAAACAUGCCUUUUGGUUCCAAAGGCAAUGCCUGGCUCAGUCCCAGCUGAGGAUCUGACUCUGUUAUGUCUCAACACACAUAUGCUUAUGGUAUAUGAUUCUGCUCCUACAGUAGUAUUCAUUCUAGAUUUCAAGUACAGAACAUGACUCAUACUCCUUUCUUUCUUUACAUUUGUAUUAUCUAGCCUAGCUGUUGAGGGUUUAGUCAAAAGAAUAAUUAAUGUUUAGUUGAUAAUCUGAAUCCCAACAGCUCAUCCCAGACAAUGUUCCUUGACAGCAAAUCCUGCACCACAGAGAUUAAGAGACAAAUUUGCAAAUGUCAGAAGGCAAGGACUGCAUGCAGAAAUGCAGCACAUUCUCUAGCACACCCCAUCCAUGCUGUCCUGCACUGCUGCAUCACAUUGGUAAAAAAUCCACUCUGCACCAGCAGCAGCACAGCCACGAUUUGGCAUGGCUGUAUAUAGCACUCAUGUAUUUAGGAACGUGGAUCGCCAGGCAUGUGUUUAGCUGGACAGCUGUACAUGCAAAUAUCCAACUUGCACACCCAACGUGUGUGUGCCUCUCAGGGUAUGCAUGUCCCACAACCCAAGUAGUAGAGCUGGAACAAAAAUAGAGAAGAAGCCUUCGUCUUGUUAAAAAUGUGGCACUGAUCUCACUUUUUUCUAAAUGAGACAGAAGGCAAAUGUUCUCCAACAAAACAUAAACAGUGAAUAACAGAGCUGGAAUAUUAAGAUGCCUGAGUAUGGGAAAGAAGCAAGAUGAGCCAGAAAGGGAAAACCAGCAGCAGAGCUCAAGUCUUGCCUACGAUCAACCCAAGCGGAGCACGCUGCUAGGAUUGCCCCUGCAGAUCAAUGUGCAUGGGGAAAGAAAGGGGAGGUGACACUAUCCAAGAAAAGGAAACUCAGAAAACUAUCAGGAAGGGAUUUGGAGUAGAAAAAACAAGUCAUUAGGAAUGGAAGAGAAAAGGAAAAACAGGGCCUGAAAACCACUGCACGUCCCUGGGCCCACUUUGGAAGGAAGGAGAAGUAAAAGACUUGUUUCUUCCAUUGAGAGUUGAAUCUGAUGCACUGGUCAGUGAAUGACAGCUGAAGCUCAGCUACCUCUUGCCUUCAGACAACUCCUCCCCAGGACAGCACCCUGGACAUCGGGGCAGAGGGCAGGCUGCAGGGAGCAAGAGGAGGAGGGGGAGACCUCUGUGACUUUGACCUUGGAGGAGUCCCACAUUUGGGAUCUGUCCUGUUUUCUUGUUGUGUGUGUGCCUAGAAGAUGGCCAGAAUCUAGCAUCUGAAUGCAGCAGUUCCCAAAAGCAAUUCUCCUUUUUGCAGGAGAGUGGAUGGUACGAUGUCGACGUAGCACAACAGAUGCUUCAGUCCAGAGGAAAUCAGGAACUAUGCCCCUGCCUGUGGUGCUGGGAGUGGGUGCAGAGUGGUACCUCUUGCCUGCCAUUCCUGCUGGCCCACGGCUACCUUGCUGCUCCAGCAUCUCAACAGCAGCACAGCAGCUACUAGAGGAAGAUGAUUUCAGGGAAUAAAUAGACUCGGUGGCAAUGCGACACUAUGGUGGCUGUCAUCACCUGGGAUGUCACAGACCAUCCACCACCAUAUCACACCACCGGUCCCUGCUCCGUUCCUUGCUGUUACUCUGCAUGCCUCCUGUGCAGCCCUGCCAGGGAAACAUCCUCACAGGUGGGCGCAAGAAUCUCAUGAUGCCUGUGGCCUCCCUAUGCCACAUAACAGAGAGCAAGAGGUGGCCCAUGUGAGCCCAGAACACUACCAUCACUUUGAAGGACCUCUGACGGAGAAAGGCCUUCGUGGGCCAGGCAGGUGAGAGGAGGACAAAAGGACAAGGAAUCUGCUUUUCCUAUCAGAAAAGUUCUGAUACUCUUUGUGGCACACCUGCUGCUUGCUUUAUGAAAUACUCUCCAUGUUCACGCUUGAUACACUUGUACAAAUAAAUAUACCAC
This is a long non-coding RNA of Gallus gallus (chicken), 4273 nucleotides long. Lineage: Eukaryota; Metazoa; Chordata; Aves; Galliformes; Phasianidae. The record is from Ensembl.